GGAUCUCUUCGGAUUGAAACUUAUUUGACUGAGCGGCGGACGGGUGAGUAACGCGUGGGUAACCUGCCUCAUACAGGGGGAUAACAGUUAGAAAUGGCUGCUAAUACCGCAUAAGCGCACAGGACCGCAUGGUCUGGUGUGAAAAACUCCGGUGGUAUGAGAUGGACCCGCGUCUGAUUAGCUAGUUGGAGGGGUAACGGCCCACCAAGGCGACGAUCAGUAGCCGGCCUGAGAGGGUGAACGGCCACAUUGGGACUGAGACACGGCCCAGACUCCUACGGGAGGCAGCAGUGGGGAAUAUUGCACAAUGGGGGAAACCCUGAUGCAGCGACGCCGCGUGAAGGAAGAAGUAUCUCGGUAUGUAAACUUCUAUCAGCAGGGAAGAAAAUGACGGUACCUGACUAAGAAGCCCCGGCUAACUACGUGCCAGCAGCCGCGGUAAUACGUAGGGGGCAAGCGUUAUCCGGAUUUACUGGGUGUAAAGGGAGCGUAGACGGAAGAGCAAGUCUGAUGUGAAAGGCUGGGGCUUAACCCCAGGACUGCAUUGGAAACUGUUUCUCUAGAGUGCCGGAGAGGUAAGCGGAAUUCCUAGUGUAGCGGUGAAAUGCGUAGAUAUUAGGAGGAACACCAGUGGCGAAGGCGGCUUACUGGACGGUAACUGACGUUGAGGCUCGAAAGCGUGGGGAGCAAACAGG
This 695-nucleotide ribosomal RNA is filed under the name uncultured Lachnospiraceae bacterium. RNAcentral describes it as "bacterial SSU rRNA". It matches the Rfam family "Bacterial small subunit ribosomal RNA", at positions 69 to 776 of the family's 1533-position model. The record is from RNAcentral. Lineage: Bacteria; Bacillati; Bacillota; Clostridia; Lachnospirales; Lachnospiraceae.